CGUAAAGAGCUCGUAGGUGGUUUGUCGCGUUGUUCGUGAAAUCUCACGGCUUAACUGUGAGCGUGCGGGCGAUACGGGCAGACUAGAGUACUGCAGGGGAGACUGGAAUUCCUGGUGUAGCGGUGGAAUGCGCAGAUAUCAGGAGGAACACCGGUGGCGAAGGCGGGUCUCUGGGCAGUAACUGACGCUGAGGAGCGAAAGCGUGGGGAGCGAACAGGAUUAGAUGCCCUGGUAGUCCACGCCGUAAACGGUGGGUACUAGGUGUGGGUUUCCUUCCUUGGGAUCCGUGCCGUAGCUAACGCAUUAAGUACCCCGCCUGGGGAGUACGGCCGCAAAGCUAAAACUCAAAGGAAUUGACGGGGGCCCGCACAAGCGGCGGAGCAUGUGGAUUAAUUCGAUGCAACGCGAAGAACCUUACCUGGGUUUGACAUGCACAGGACGCGUCUAGAGAUAGGCGUUCCCUUGUGGCCUGUGUGCAGGUGGUGCAUGGCUGUCGUCAGCUCGUGUCGUGAGAUGUUGGGUUAAGUCCCGCAACGAGCGCAACCCUUGUCUCAUGUUGCCAGCGGGUAAUGCCGGAGACUCGUGAGAGACUGCCGGGGUCAACUCGGAGGAAGGUGGGGAUGACGUCAAGUCAUCAUGCCCCUUAUGUCCAGGGCUUCACACACGCUACAAUGGCCGGUACAAAGGGCUGCGAUGCCGUAAGGUUAAGCGAAUCCUUUUAAAGCCGGUCUCAGUUCGGAUUGGGGUCUGCAACUCGACCCCAUGAAGUCGGAGUCGCUAGUAAU
This 785-nucleotide ribosomal RNA is filed under the name uncultured Mycobacterium sp. RNAcentral's name for it is "bacterial SSU rRNA". It matches the Rfam family "Bacterial small subunit ribosomal RNA", at positions 559 to 1342 of the family's 1533-position model. Lineage: Bacteria; Bacillati; Actinomycetota; Actinomycetes; Mycobacteriales; Mycobacteriaceae. The record is from RNAcentral.